This is a long non-coding RNA of Carassius auratus (goldfish), 497 nucleotides long. RefSeq lists it as uncharacterized. The transcript is spliced from 3 exons. Lineage: Eukaryota; Metazoa; Chordata; Actinopteri; Cypriniformes; Cyprinidae. The record is from RefSeq and is a predicted model, not a curated record.
GGUUGGAAUUGACCUGUUCUUGAAUCUUUAAAAUUCGAUUUUACAGAGGUUGAUAUUGCAGCAACACGUAUUUGUCUUAGUUUUGUGCGGUUUGCUCACAGGCUGGGAGGAUGACAGCUCGAGUGUAUUUCUCGUUGAUUGCUGUUUUUUCGUGUCUGUUCGGAUACUUGAGCAUAGCCCACGCUAUUCAAAGACGAACCACAGUGGAUGGUUUCUGUCCGGCGAGGCUGACGGUCGUGCCGUUCCAUCGAGGAUGUUCCUCUGAUGAAGACUGCCCUGGAGGGCACAAAUGCUGUCAAUUUGACUGUGGGACUGUUUGCGUGCUGCCUGUUUUCAUGAAGCCGGGUCAGUGUCCCGUACCGGAGAUGAUUCCACUGUGUGCUAAAAGCUGUUUCCGUGAUGGCCAGUGUCCUGCCACGCAGAAAUGUUGCCCAACCACCGGUGGCUUUGCAUGCAGUGAACCACGUGGUCAGGGAAGAGGUCAAGCAAGUUGCCAG